AGAAGAAGAAGAAGAAGAGAGAUAAUUAAGAAAGAUGAUGCAGAAUAGCACAACACAGCCCAUGGGGCAUUUAGAUUCCUCUUUCUCCAUUGUUCCCUUUGUUUUAAAUGCCAGAUUUUGAACAAGUGAGGUUACUGUGUUUCUCCUUUGAUUCGUUGUCGUGCAGAUAUGCUAACACAUAUACAUAAAAACCAUUUUCCACUUCUUUUUUUUCUGCUUUUUUUUCACAGUUUUUCCUGAUUUUCCUCCAUAUUGCUUUCCUGCCUUAA
Molecule: unclassified non-coding RNA, 269 nt
Filed under: Hevea brasiliensis (rubber tree)
Lineage: Eukaryota; Viridiplantae; Streptophyta; Magnoliopsida; Malpighiales; Euphorbiaceae
Source: RNAcentral